Molecule: non-coding RNA, 157 nt
Organism: Hydra vulgaris (swiftwater hydra)
Lineage: Eukaryota; Metazoa; Cnidaria; Hydrozoa; Anthoathecata; Hydridae
Source: RefSeq, a predicted model, not a curated record
AAAAGGCAACAUCUUAUAAUGUGGUAAAAUGAUGCAUCUUGUAAUGUGGUUGGAAGGCGUUGUAGCACACACCCUUCCCUUGAUUCUAAAUGUGCGCUACUAGUGUGAAGACGAGAAAUUUUUGUUAUUAUUUAAAAAAAAGUUUUUGUAAUUAUAA